Molecule: ribosomal RNA, 772 nt
Filed under: uncultured bacterium
Lineage: Bacteria
Description: bacterial SSU rRNA
Rfam family: Bacterial small subunit ribosomal RNA
Source: RNAcentral
CGUGAUGCCUGGCUCAGGACGAACGCUGGCGGCGUGCCUAAUACAUGCAAGUCGAGCGAACAGAAGGGAGCUUGCUCCCGGAUGUUAGCGGCGGACGGGUGAGUAACACGUGGGUAACCUGCCUGUAAGACUGGGAUAACUCCGGGAAACCGGAGCUAAUACCGGAUAGUUCCUUGAACCGCAUGGUUCAAGGAUGAAAGACGGUUUCGGCUGUCACUUACAGAUGGACCCGCGGCGCAUUAGCUAGUUGGUGAGGUAAUGGCUCACCAAGGCGACGAUGCGUAGCCGACCUGAGAGGGUGAUCGGCCACACUGGGACUGAGACACGGCCCAGACUCCUACGGGAGGCAGCAGUAGGGAAUCUUCCGCAAUGGACGAAAGUCUGACGGAGCAACGCCGCGUGAGUGAUGAAGGAUUUCGGUUCGUAAAGCUCUGUUGUUAGGGAAGAACAAGUGCCGUUCAAAUAGGGCGGCACCUUGACGGUACCUAACCAGAAAGCCACGGCUAACUACGUGCCAGCAGCCGCGGUAAUACGUAGGUGGCAAGCGUUGUCCGGAAUUAUUGGGCGUAAAGCGCGCGCAGGCGGUCUUUUAAGUCUGAUGUGAAAGCCCACGGCUCAACCGUGGAGGGUCAUUGGAAACUGGGAGACUUGAGUACAGAGGAGGAGAGUGGAAUUCCACGUGUAGCGGUGAAAUGCGUAGAUAUGUGGAGGAACACCAGUGGCGAAGGCGACUCUCUGGUCUGUAACUGACGCUGAGGCGCGAAAGCGUGGG